This 755-nucleotide long non-coding RNA is filed under the name Monodelphis domestica (gray short-tailed opossum). RNAcentral's name for it is "lncRNA (ENSMODG00000051082.1)". Lineage: Eukaryota; Metazoa; Chordata; Mammalia; Didelphimorphia; Didelphidae. The record is from RNAcentral.
CAACAGUCUUGGCACUUCUCUCCUGAAGGACCUUGGGUUGGAGGUUUGAAAACAGGUUUCUGGACUUUUGUGAUACCAGCUGCAGAGACGAAUCUUUUGAACUGGCUGCUGGCAGCUAGAACAGAGGAUUGAAGACUCACUUCUCCACUGGACCUGUUUUGGACAUUUUUCAUCUGAAGAUCCUGGCCCACUUGAUUGGACUCCACUUGUCAUCGCCUUCAGCAUUGAAACUGGGAUCCUUUUCUACUAACGUCUAAGGAGACCUCAGCAUGAGCUAUAUUCUGAAAUUCCCAGAGAAAGCUCAGGAUAGAGGCAAAGAUACUCCUAUACUUUGGUGCUGUUCUGGAUUGCAACCUCCUUGCCUCAAUUAAAGAUCCUUCUUGCUAUAUUGUUCUCUCUAUUUCAAGGUUGAUAGCUAUUUGUGACCUGCCAUCUUGGGCAAGCCAAGAUGGAGAAACUAAGACUUCAACAGGUUGUGAGAAGGGGGAAAAAGACUCAAAAUGGAGUGGCCAAGAUGAUUAUUCAUCCAUCCAUCCAUCCAUCUACCCAUCCAUCCAUCCAUCCAUCCACUUACUAGAGUCUCCUUUCAAGGAUGUACAGUAUAGCCUGGUGGAAAUGUAGAUCUCCAUGGAAACUGGUGAGGUGAAAUCACUCAAGUGUUGACAAGCAGAGUUCUUCUCCACGGCAUAGGAAGUGGAGAAACGUCUCACAGCUGCCCAGAAGAGGAAUAAACCUGCGACUCUGUAUAUUAAACA